This 3345-nucleotide long non-coding RNA is filed under the name Dicentrarchus labrax (European seabass). RNAcentral's name for it is "lncRNA (ENSDLAG00005027023.1)". Lineage: Eukaryota; Metazoa; Chordata; Actinopteri; Moronidae. The record is from RNAcentral.
AUUGUUAUCAUUAUGUUUGUCUGGAAAUCAGCAGAAUGGGGGUGUUGAUUUCCAGCGGGUGGGUUUUCCUUUGUCCCUUUUUUUUUUUUUUUUUUUUGUUCUAACCCAGAUUUUCAUGUUUAACAGGCCCACAGCUGAUCCAUCCCCCAGUACACAAUUGAGACAGAGGAGGUUAAAGCACUCUGAACGCAUGGGACCAUAUUGCAGGUAUUUGUGCCUGUGGCAGGGUCUUGGUCUUUUGUUCUCCUCCUGCUCCUCCUCUGCAUCACAAGACGACCCGCAUGCACACGAGCUUCAGACAGACACACACUACGCACCCCCAACAUCCCCCCGUGUGCAAGGCUGGUGGCUCCAUUGUGUGACCUGUUCUCACACUGUUCCAUCUCCACAUCACGCAGCCAGCCUUUCACAGCAGCAAUUCAGCAGCAACAAUCACACACUCGCGCCUCAAAAAAAGACCUCUUGCUCCCUUUGCCAACCAAUUAAGAGCCAUCUGGGCUUGGAUGCAGUAAGAAAGCUAUUACAAAAUCAUAACUAUUUUCAUAUUUUCAUGAUGUGUUUUUGAUGUGGAGACUCAAAUGUUUUUAAAAAACAGAGCUUUGUUUCCAUGAUAUGUCUUCGCGUCCAUGAAAAUGUAUAAUUCUUAAACAGAGAGAGUGCGCUCAUCAAUAUUUUGUUAAUUUGCGCAGGACCAGUGGAGGGCACAACACAGUUUAAAAACACAACAGAGCCAGCCAUAGCUUUUGAAGCUGCCAUGCAAGUGUGUGAUUCCGGAUGAACUUGAGGUCAUAGAUUCCCAGUAGCUGCGUAGGGCAGGGAAUGGAGAGCAGCAGGGUUCAAGCCUUGGGUCACUGGAGCCUCAGAAGUGACCAGCCAGCUUUGUCCCAGGAGGGAUGAUGGUGACGGAUUCACUGGUGUUUUCUCAUGGUCCACUGAACCCUAUAGCAAAGACUCCAACUUAGAGCCUGCAGAAAGAGAGAGCACUCCUCUCAUCUCCAGUUCACAGAACUCCAGAAGCGGGGCUGUCUGAAUGGGCUCCAGGAUGCCUCGAGAUACACGAAAUCCAGCCGCAACCUCACGGUGGCACUGCCAAACCUCAUUUCAUCCUUUUCCUCCAUGUAUAAUCUGCAGUACACAUUAGGCCUCUGACAUGCACCGCAAUGGUUCAUUUCCCCAUUGUAUGUAAGUGUUAAACCACUGUGUUGUCAAGUAGGCUUUAUAAGGCGAAAAGAUAUGAAUAGAAACUCCACCCUGUCUUUUUUCUUUUCAAUCUAACUAAGUUAAAAGGCUUACUUACCCCUAAUCAAAAUGGCAAGCCCACUGGCAUGGUAUGUCCCAGCUGUGGCCCUGGCGCAGCAUUUCCCUUCUCCCCGUACAUUGUUCUGGGCAGCACAUCCAAGAGCUCUUGCUGUGUUAUGUACUUAACUGAGGUCAGAGUUGUCAUUAUCUGGGUCUUGUUGGCACUAAGGCCUCCUCUGAUGAUAGGACUCCCUUUCAGAGCUGCAGCUUUUAGCACUCCCUAAGAGCUAACCUCUGUGAAGACCAGGCAAUCGACCACCUGCAAAUCUAGCCCAGGGCAGGGACUGUGUUUAAAGGAGUAUGCUUUUUGACAUUCUGUCACAUGUGUGCUGUUUGCCCUAACCUGGUGUAAGUUUACACAGAUGCUCCAAGAUUUACCUCUGAUCUUUUUUUUCUGGUUGAUUGGGGGGGAUUAGUAAAGUUUAUAUGUACAGACAGGAGACUUAUGUUCAGUUGUUUAUUAGGUGGCUCAUAAUGGCUGGAGGCCAGGGUCCUGUCAUCCAAGUCAAAAUCUAGUGCUCCCAGUGCUAACUCAGAACACAUUGAAGGUGUAUUUUUUCUAUGGUGUUUUCUAUCGUAUCACAAUUUUAAAGCUUGCACAACAUUGUUACAUAUUGGAAAAUUGAUCCUUAGAAGCAUUUUGGCAUGGAUUGAGGAAAAAGUACACAACAGGAGAUUAGUGUUUGUGGAGGCUUACGUUUUAUUUCUUGAUCUAAGCACUGUCAUCUCCAUUCUAGCAACACUUCCUCAUUCUUGUCAGCCCCCAUGGUGUCGCUCUGUUAGGAAUUAUUUUUCAGAAUAUACUGCAUUUUGAAAAGAUAUAUCUCCCCCAUGCCUCUCUUGUUCUCUCAUUCUCCAACUCUCCCUCUCUGUUUCUCUCUGUGUCUUACAAAAACACACAGAAACACACACACAUACACACACUGCAACAUGCACACAACCAGACAUGCACAACCCCUCUUAAAACUGGUCCUCCCCCCUAUAGCAAUUUUGUCAGAAGUUGACAAUGUCUUGAUUUAGUUGUCUGGCUGUUCCGGCCAGUUUUCCCUGCUGCGCUAAUGUGAACAGGACAUCCUGCUGGGCACCAAAGAAUACCACUUCACGGCAGCCGCAUAGCUGGCAGCUUUUAUUUAUGGCGCUACCGAAAUGAAUGGGUAUUAGUGUCCAAACAUUUCACCAUGCUCCUGCAGCCACACACAAAAGCCACUGAUUUCCAGCAAAUCUGCACUUAUUUUAUUCAAGAAGACUAAAGCUAGGGAGAGGGAGAGGGACAGAGAGAGAGAGAGGGGGAGAGAGAAAACAUUUAUAAUGACUUAAAAGACCUGAAAAGAAGAAUAGGAAUUGCGUUUGAAAAGGAUUUACGAGACAGAAAUUGAAAAUUUAAAAAAAUGGCCCCUCCAUUUCACUGCAUUUUUGUCAGAGUUGAAAAUGGAUCUAUAUCCCUAAAAUGACUCAACUUAAGUGCUUAUAUUCACAAAAACCACACUUCCUCCACAAUCACCCAGUUUUCAGUUGCUCUGUUUUGCCCGGUUGUACAAAGCAUUGUAUUUUAUAGAACUAUACCAGGAAGGAAAGAGUAUUUUUAUCAUUGCUAAAAUUGUCGAUUUAAAGUGUCUUCACAAAUCACUCUUGCUACCAUUUUGCAAUCCAGGCUGCCUACUGUCUUGUUAACCUAUGAAUUUUAAGUGGACAGUUCCCAUUAGAUUGCAGUAGCACUGCUGACUCCUCUUGGCUUUUCUGUAGGGAGCAGGCUGAGGCAGAGUGCUCUCCUGGCCCGGCGCUGCACUUUGCCUGGUCUCUGUGUCCAGGACCUCAUCAGCACAUAGUCCGCCUGUCCUUGUGUCCCUGCCACUCACCUCCCUGCUCUUCAUCUGUCAUUCCUGCCCUUCUGCAAACACACUCCACUGACAUUUUGAAAAACUCUGGCAUUCACCCUCAAUAUGGAUUUUUGUUGAUUAUAGCUUUCUGUCUGUGAAGAUUGCACGUAUUAUUGACUUUGCAAUCCCAUGACUAUUUGCACAGCUUUUUCCUCCCCUCUGCAUCUCG